This 253-nucleotide ribosomal RNA is filed under the name uncultured bacterium. RNAcentral's name for it is "partial 16S ribosomal RNA". It matches the Rfam family "Bacterial small subunit ribosomal RNA", at positions 524 to 776 of the family's 1533-position model. The record is from RNAcentral.
UACGGGGGGUGCAAGCGUUAUUCGGAAUGACUGGGCGUAAAGCGCACGUAGGCUGCUUGCUAAGUCCGAUGUGAAAGCCCUGGGCUCAAUCCAGGAAGUGCAUUGGAUACUGGCUUGCUAGAGUAUAGGAGAGGAGAGCGGAAUUUCUGGUGUAGAGGUGAAAUUCGUAGAUAUCAGAAGGAACAACAGCGGCGAAGGCGGCUCUCUGGACUAUUACUGACGCUGAGGUGCGAAAGCGUGGGGAGCAAACAGG